Molecule: unclassified non-coding RNA, 205 nt
Filed under: Hevea brasiliensis (rubber tree)
Lineage: Eukaryota; Viridiplantae; Streptophyta; Magnoliopsida; Malpighiales; Euphorbiaceae
Source: RNAcentral
CAUAUCGUAUCUCGAUUCUGUAAAGUACUUUAAACCUGAUAUAGAAACUGUGAAAGGGGAAGCUCUGCGAACUUUUGUAUACCAUGAAAUACUGAUUGGGUACAUGGAUUACUGCAGGAAACGAGGUUUUACAACCUGCUAUUUAUGGGCUUGCCCCCCUAUAAAAGGUGAAGACUACAUCUUGUAUUGCCAUCCUGAAUCUCAG